RNAcentral lists this ribosomal RNA (406 nucleotides) under uncultured bacterium. Its description in RNAcentral is "partial 16S ribosomal RNA". It matches the Rfam family "Bacterial small subunit ribosomal RNA", at positions 30 to 526 of the family's 1533-position model. The record is from RNAcentral.
AUUGAACGCUGGCGGCAGGCCUAACACAUGCAAGUCGAACGAGUGGCGGACGGGUGAGUAAUGUCUGGGAAAGUGCCCGAUGGCGGGGGAUAACUACUGGAAACGGUAGCUAAUACCGCAUACCAUCGGAUGUGCCCAUAUGGGAUUAGCUAGUAGGUGGGGUAAAGGCUCACCGAGGCGACGAUCCCUAGCUGGUUUGAGAGGAUGACCAGCCAAACUGGAACUGAGACACGGCCCAGAAUCCUACGGGAGGAAGCAGUGGGGAAUAUUGGACAAGGGGCGCAAGCCUGAUGCAGCCAUGCCGCGUGUAUGAAGAAGGCCUUCGGGUUGUAAAGUACUUUCGGCGGGGAGGCGUUACCCGCAGAAGAAGCACCGGCUAACUCCGUGCCAGCAGCCGCGGUAAUUC